GGGUAGGUACCGAAGUGGUCAAACGGGGCAGACUGUAAAUCUGCUGGCUAUACCUUCAGAGGUUCGAAUCCUCUCCUGCCCA
This 82-nucleotide transfer RNA is filed under the name Verrucomicrobiales bacterium. RNAcentral's name for it is "tRNA-Tyr". It matches the Rfam family "tRNA". From Rfam's summary of the family: Transfer RNA (tRNA) molecules are approximately 80 nucleotides in length. Their secondary structure includes four short double-helical elements and three loops (D, anti-codon, and T loops). Further hydrogen bonds mediate the characteristic L-shaped molecular structure. tRNAs have two regions of fundamental functional importance: the anti-codon, which is responsible for specific mRNA codon recognition, and the 3' end, to which the tRNAs corresponding amino acid is attached (by aminoacyl-tRNA synthetases). tRNAs cope with the degeneracy of the genetic code in two manners: having more than one tRNA (with a specific anti-codon) for a particular amino acid; and 'wobble' base-pairing, i.e. permitting non-standard base-pairing at the 3rd anti-codon position. The record is from RNAcentral. Lineage: Bacteria; Pseudomonadati; Verrucomicrobiota; Verrucomicrobiia; Verrucomicrobiales.